UCUCAACAAGAAUCAUGUCAAAGUCAGAUUCACCCAAAUAUGUGACAGCACUGUUUUCCUUUAAAGGGAAAAACAAUGAUGAACUAUGUUUUAAGAAAGGAGAUGUGAUUACAAUAACCCAGACUGACGAGGAAGGUUGGUGGGAGGGUACGUUGCACGACAAAACAGGCUGGUUUCCAUCUAAUUAUGUGAAAGAGUGCAGAGUUCCAGACAGCGGUGUUUCCGCCGUUAAGGCCUCUCCAGAAAAGAUUCAGCAAGAAUCCCCUACUCAUCAGAAACUUAAUCGCGAUAUCGUGCUAAAGGAUAUAGUAGACUCUGAAAGAGUAAAUGUAGCAGAGUUGCAGGGUUUGAUAAAUAGCUUUUUACAUCCUCUAGAAUCUGCAAAUAUAUUGAGCAAAGAAGAAUAUAAGCAACUUUUAGGUAAUAUACAGGAAAUCAUGGAGGUACAUCAACGAUUGUUAAAUAAUUUGGAAACGACGAUGGCUCAAGGUUGCGCGUCGAGAGUUGGUAAUCUCUUUCUAACGCUUGCACCAAAAUUAAAGUCCAUACAUACAGCGUACUGUGGAAAUCAUCCACGGGCUGUGUGCGUUUUAGAUCGGUAUAGGGACGAAUUGAACGAUUUCAUGGAACGCAACGGAGCGAUAUCGCCUGGUAUAUUAGUAUUAACUACCGGUUUAAGCAAACCUUUUCGAAGACUAGACAAGUACUCGGCUAUGCUUCAAGAAUUGGAAAGGUAUACGGAGAAGAACCAUCCCGAUAGAGGCGAUACGCAACGUAGUAUAGUUGUAUAUAGAGAAAUAGCGGAUCGAUGCGCGUCCAUAAGAAAGCAACGAGAAUUGGCGCUGCAAGUGUUAACUAGCGGCAUCAAAGGAUGGGAGGGAGAAGAGCUAAGUUCGCUCGGGGAAAUUCUUUACGUUGGAUCCGUCACUAUAGCAAAUGGAACAAACGGGCUAGAUCGUCGGGAUAGAUAUUUUGUUCUUUUCCCUACGACGCUCUUGGUUCUCAGCACUAGCCCUAGGAUGAGUUCUUUCGUCUAUGAAGGAAAGCUUCCUUUGACGGGUAUCAACAUUAUUCGGAAAGAAGAUUCGGAAGAAAUAAGAAAUGCCUUUGAAAUUACAGGACCAAUGAUCGAGAGCAUACUCGUGCUUUGCACCAGCAAAGAAGAGCGGCAGCGUUGGAUCGAACUUUUGAUUCAAGAACAAACGGCGAGCAACAGUCUCGUGAAAUCGCCUACGACCUCACGUGUGAGUUCUUAUCUACCUCCGUACGCUCGUCUAUCGAGAUAUUUUGCAAAGUUAGUCAAGAAAAAGAUUAUACGUCCCGAGUUGCUGAAGAAACUGCUUUAUUUGCAAUACGUUCUGAAGCCGGACAUGAGUAACGUAAAAAUGCGGAGACCCAAUCUUACCACUUACGUUCUCUUUCCGAUGCGAACGAGUAGCGAGGAACGCGAAUCGAAUUGUUCGGAAAUAGACAGUUUCGAUACGAGCAAACUCAUGGAGAAACGAUCGCAUGUCGGGCCAACAAUGUUGCGUAAAUCUACCUUGACUCUAGACGUGAAAUACGCCUUAGGUAAUAUGGAUCUUAGCACUGUAGGAAUAGGAAAAGAUUCGUCGAGAGAAUUGGCAUCGGAGUCGGACAGUAUACAAGAAACUAGUAAAAGUUUACCCGUUACUGUUUUUAAUUCUGCUAGUGGUUGCAUCGACGCCGACAAUAGGAAUGAAACUGUCGGCGCCAAUGAUCGAUCACGAUUUACCAAUCAAUUUCCUCAUUCGUUUCCAAUCGUUGGUAACGUAGAUAAAGAACGCGUGAACGACGUUCUCACAGACAUAUGUUGGAAAAAUAAUGGACGCGUUCAAGAGCAACCUGUUAGCGCUGCUUCUAUCGAACAUCCGAUCGUUCUCACCCGUAAUUCCAACACCGAACAUCGAUUUCGAACGUCCACUCUGAGGAACAUCGAACUCGAUUCUCGCACGAACGUCAGCCUCGAUUCGUUGGAUUCGGGAAUGGACGAAAGCUAUCGAUUGAAUUCAUCCGAAAUUAAUUCAUCCUGCAAAUCGUAUAAGCGCGACACCGAAGGUCCUGCAAGGAAUUCAUACGGCGAAAGCGAGAACGACGAAGUGAAAUUCGAAUGUCAAUGCGUUUGCACGUCUCCGUUUGAUUCAACCCCUAGAGACAGCGCUCAUCUGUCCGAUUUAUCAAGAAACGUCGACAAUGUUCUGGAUACAUUGAUUUGCGACACGAGUGCUUCGAACGUAAGCUCUUCCACCCAACCUUCGUACCAGCUGAACGAAAUGCGGCUAGCAGAAAACGCGAUAUCUCUAGUUCCGGAUAAUUUUGAACGUGCAACGCAGCGAAGGUUUACGCAACCGAUACCGUAUUCGCAUCGGACCGACGUCGCAAGAAAAGUUGGAAGAAAAGCGGCACAGCCGAGUGGUCCGCUCGUCGUUGAAAACGAUUAUCCUGGAACGAGUGAAAUCUAUACAUCGGGACUGUACGUCCAUUGGUGGUUGAAGAAGUCCGUACCAUUGUCUGGAUGCACGGAACAAGAUUUGCAGUCAACCGAACGGGAAACUGCAACAACAGCCGCAACCGCAGCAGCAGCAGCAGCAGCAACCAAGAUCGACCGUGGAGCAUUGCACCCCCGUAGGAAUUAGAACACCGUGGAGUAUUGCCUCGUUACGACCAGCACCUCCUCUGUAUACUGUCAGAGCAUUUGAGGAAAAACAGUUUGAAGAGGACGCCAUUAUAUUGAAGGUGAUCGAGGCGUAUUGUCUGUCCGUCAAUGCUAGAUUUACCGUCCAUUCUGGAG
Molecule: RNA transcript, 2809 nt
Organism: Osmia bicornis bicornis
Lineage: Eukaryota; Metazoa; Arthropoda; Insecta; Hymenoptera; Megachilidae
Gene: RtGEF
Gene name: rho guanine nucleotide exchange factor 7
Exons: 10
Source: RefSeq, a predicted model, not a curated record